GCCAGACUCCUACGGGAGGCAGCAGUGGGGAAUAUUGGGCAAUGGGCGCAAGCCUGACCCAGCAACGCCGCGUGAAGGAAGAAGGCUUUCGGGUUGUAAACUUCUUUUAAGAGGGAAGAGCAGAAGACGGUACCUCUUGAAUAAGCCACGGCUAACUACGUGCCAGCAGCCGCGGUAAUACGUAGGGAGCGAGCGUUGUCCGGAAUUACUGGGUGUAAAGGGAGCGUAGGCGGGAUUGCAAGUUGGAUGUGAAAACUGCGGGCUCAACCCGGAGCGUGCAUUCAAAACUGCGAUUCUUGAGUGGAGUAGAGGCAAGCGGAAUUCCUAGUGUAGCGGUGAAAUGCGUAGAUAUUAGGAGGAACACCAGUGGCGAAGGCGGCUUGCUGGGCUUUUACUGACGCUGAGGCUCGAAAGUGUGGGGAGCAAACAGGAUUAGAUACCCCCGUA
Molecule: ribosomal RNA, 447 nt
Filed under: uncultured bacterium
Lineage: Bacteria
Description: bacterial SSU rRNA
Rfam family: Bacterial small subunit ribosomal RNA
Source: RNAcentral